RNAcentral lists this unclassified non-coding RNA (228 nucleotides) under plant metagenome. RNAcentral's name for it is "partial contains small subunit ribosomal RNA, internal transcribed spacer 1, and 5.8S ribosomal RNA". The record is from RNAcentral.
UCUCCGUAGGUGAACCUGCGGAGGGAUCAUUACAGAGUUCAUGCCCUACCGGGUAGAUCUCCCACCCUAUGUUAUUAUUACUUUGUUGCUUGGCGGGCCGUUAGGCUCCGGCCCGACUACCGGCCCCGGCUGGUAAGCGCCCGCCAGAGGACCCAAAACCCUGAAUAUUAGUGUCGUCUGAGUACUAUAUAAUAGUUAAAACUUUCAACAACGGAUCUCUUGGUUCUG